This 461-nucleotide ribosomal RNA is filed under the name Centipeda infelix. RNAcentral's name for it is "bacterial SSU rRNA". It matches the Rfam family "Bacterial small subunit ribosomal RNA", at positions 28 to 465 of the family's 1533-position model. The record is from RNAcentral. Lineage: Bacteria; Bacillati; Bacillota; Negativicutes; Selenomonadales; Selenomonadaceae.
GACGAACGCUGGCGGCGUGCUUAACACAUGCAAGUCGAACGGAGCGAAUGAAAGCUUGCUUUUAUGAGCUUAGUGGCAAACGGGUGAGUAACACGUAGACAACCUGCCGACAGGAUGGGGACAACAUUCCGAAAGGAAUGCUAAUACCGAAUGAAGCGGAGGAGAGGCAUCUCUCCUCCGUGAAAGAUGGCCUCUGAACAUGCUAUCACCUGUCGAUGGGUCUGCGUCUGAUUAGCUAGUUGGUGAGGUAACGGCUCACCAAGGCGACGAUCAGUAGCCGGUCUGAGAGGAUGAACGGCCACAUUGGGACUGAGACACGGCCCAGACUCCUACGGGAGGCAGCAGUGGGGAAUCUUCCGCAAUGGGCGCAAGCCUGACGGAGCAACGCCGCGUGAGUGAAGAAGGUCUUCGGAUCGUAAAGCUCUGUUGAUGGGGACGAACGUGCGAAGGGUGAAUAAUCC